RNAcentral lists this ribosomal RNA (370 nucleotides) under uncultured bacterium. RNAcentral's name for it is "partial 16S ribosomal RNA". It matches the Rfam family "Bacterial small subunit ribosomal RNA", at positions 338 to 705 of the family's 1533-position model. The record is from RNAcentral.
CCUACGGGAGGCAGCAGUGAGGAAUAUUGGUCAAUGGACGGAAGUCUGAACCAGCCAUGCCGCGUGCAGGAAGACGGCUCUAUGAGUUGUAAACUUCUUUUGUACAAGGGUAAACCUGAAUACGUGUAUUCAGCUGAAAGUACUUUAAGAAUAAGCAUCGGCUAACUCCGUGCCAGCAGCCGCGGUAAUACGGAGGAUCCAAGCGUUAUCCGGAUUUAUUGGGUUUAAAGGGUGCGCAGGCGGAAUGAUAAGUCAGCGGUGAAAUGUCGGAGCUUAACUCUGUAACUGCCUAUAAUACUGUUGAUCUAGGGAGUAGAGGCGGUAGGCGGAAUGUAUGUGGUGGCGGUGAAAUGAUUAGUGAUCAUACAGA